GCCGCGGACCCAAGAUGGCGGCGUGUGGACGUGUACGGAGGAUGUUCCGCUUGUCGGCGGCGCUGCAGCUGCUGCUGCUAGCCGCGGCCGGGGCCGAGAAACUCCCCGGCCAGGGCGUCCAUAGCCAGGGCCAGGGCCCCGGCGCCAACUUUGUGUCCUUCGUAGGGCAGGCCGGAGGCGGCGGCCCGGCGGGUCAGCAGCUGCCCCAGCUGCCUCAGUCAUCGCAGCUCCAGCAGCAGCAGCAGCAGCAGCAGCAGCAGCAGCAACAGCAACAGCAACAGCAGCCUCAGCCGCCACAGCCGCCUUUCCCGGCGGGUGGGCCUCCGGCUCGGCGAGGAGGAGCGGGGGCUGGUGGGGGCUGGAAGCUGGCGGAGGAAGAGUCCUGCAGGGAGGACGUGACCCGCGUGUGCCCCAAGCACACCUGGAGCAACAACCUGGCGGUGCUCGAGUGCCUGCAGGAUGUGAGGGAGCCUGAAAAUGAAAUUUCUUCAGACUGCAAUCAUUUGUUGUGGAAUUAUAAGCUGAACCUAACUACAGAUCCCAAAUUUGAAUCUGUGGCCAGAGAGGUUUGCAAAUCUACUAUAACAGAGAUUAAAGAAUGUGCUGAUGAACCGGUUGGAAAAGGUUACAUGGUUUCCUGCUUGGUGGAUCACCGAGGCAACAUCACUGAGUAUCAGUGUCACCAGUACAUUACCAAGAUGACGGCCAUCAUUUUUAGUGAUUACCGUUUAAUCUGUGGCUUCAUGGAUGACUGCAAAAAUGACAUCAACAUUCUGAAAUGUGGCAGUAUUCGGCUUGGAGAAAAGGAUGCACAUUCACAAGGUGAGGUGGUAUCAUGCUUGGAGAAAGGCCUGGUGAAAGAAGCAGAAGAAAGAGAACCCAAGAUUCAAGUUUCUGAACUCUGCAAGAAAGCCAUUCUCCGGGUGGCUGAGCUGUCAUCAGAUGACUUUCACUUAGACCGGCAUUUAUAUUUUGCUUGCCGAGAUGAUCGGGAGCGUUUUUGUGAAAAUACACAAGCUGGUGAGGGCAGAGUGUAUAAGUGCCUCUUUAACCAUAAAUUUGAAGAAUCCAUGAGUGAAAAGUGUCGAGAAGCACUCACAACCCGCCAAAAGCUGAUUGCCCAGGAUUAUAAAGUCAGUUAUUCAUUGGCCAAAUCCUGUAAAAGUGACUUGAAGAAAUACCGGUGCAAUGUGGAAAACCUUCCGCGAUCGCGUGAAGCCAGACUCUCCUACCUGCUAAUGUGCCUGGAGUCAGCUGUACACAGAGGGCGACAAGUGAGCAGUGAGUGCCAGGGGGAGAUGUUGGAUUACCGACGCAUGUUGAUGGAAGACUUUUCUCUGAGCCCUGAGAUCAUCCUGAGCUGUCGGGGGGAGAUUGAACACCAUUGUUCCGGAUUACAUCGAAAAGGGCGGACUCUACACUGUCUGAUGAAAGUAGUUCGCGGGGAGAAGGGGAACCUUGGAAUGAACUGCCAGCAGGCGCUUCAAACACUGAUUCAGGAGACUGACCCUGGUGCAGAUUACCGCAUUGAUCGAGCUUUGAAUGAAGCUUGUGAAUCUGUAAUCCAGACAGCCUGCAAACACAUAAGAUCCGGAGACCCAAUGAUCUUGUCCUGCCUGAUGGAACAUUUAUACACAGAGAAGAUGGUGGAAGAUUGUGAACACCGUCUCUUAGAGCUGCAGUAUUUCAUCUCCCGGGAUUGGAAGCUGGACCCUGUCCUAUACCGCAAGUGCCAGGGAGAUGCUUCUCGUCUUUGCCACACCCACGGUUGGAAUGAGACCAGUGAAUUUAUGCCUCAGGGAGCUGUGUUCUCUUGUUUAUACAGACACGCCUACCGCACUGAGGAACAGGGAAGGAGGCUCUCACGGGAGUGCCGAGCUGAAGUCCAAAGGAUCCUACACCAGCGUGCCAUGGACGUCAAGCUGGAUCCUGCCCUCCAGGAUAAGUGCCUGAUUGAUCUGGGAAAAUGGUGCAGUGAGAAAACAGAGACUGGACAGGAGCUGGAGUGCCUCCAGGACCAUCUGGAUGACUUGGUGGUGGAGUGUAGAGAUGUAGUUGGCAACCUCACUGAGUUAGAGUCAGAGGAUAUUCAAAUAGAAGCUUUGCUGAUGAGAGCCUGUGAGCCCAUAAUUCAGAACUUUUGCCACGAUGUGGCAGAUAACCAGAUAGACUCUGGGGACCUAAUGGAGUGUCUGAUACAGAACAAACACCAGAAGGACAUGAAUGAGAAGUGUGCCAUCGGAGUCACCCACUUCCAGCUGGUGCAGAUGAAGGAUUUUCGGUUUUCUUACAAGUUUAAAAUGGCCUGCAAGGAGGACGUGUUGAAGCUUUGCCCAAACAUAAAAAAGAAGGUGGACGUGGUGAUCUGCCUGAGCACGACCGUGCGCAACGACACUCUGCAGGAAGCCAAGGAGCACAGGGUGUCCCUGAAGUGCCGCAGGCAGCUCCGCGUGGAGGAGCUGGAGAUGACAGAGGACAUCCGCCUGGAGCCAGACCUGUAUGAAGCCUGCAAGAGUGACAUCAAAAACUACUGUUCCACUGUGCAGUAUGGCAAUGCUCAGAUUAUUGAAUGUCUGAAAGAAAACAAGAAGCAGCUAAGCACCCGCUGCCACCAGAAAGUAUUUAAGCUGCAGGAGACAGAGAUGAUGGACCCAGAGCUAGACUACACCCUCAUGAGGGUCUGCAAGCAGAUGAUAAAGAGGUUCUGUCCAGAAGCAGAUUCUAAAACCAUGUUACAGUGCUUGAAGCAAAAUAAAAACAGUGAACUGAUGGAUCCCAAGUGCAAACAGAUGAUAACGAAGCGUCAGAUCACCCAGAACACAGAUUACCGCUUAAACCCCAUGCUAAGAAAAGCCUGUAAAGCUGACAUUCCUAAAUUCUGUCAUGGUAUCCUGACUAAGGCCAAGGAUGAUUCAGAAUUAGAAGGACAAGUCAUCUCUUGCCUCAAGCUGAGAUAUGCUGACCAGCGCCUGUCUUCAGACUGCGAAGACCAGAUCCGAAUCAUUAUCCAGGAGUCGGCCCUGGACUACCGCCUGGAUCCUCAGCUCCAGCUGCACUGCUCAGACGAGAUCUCCAGUCUAUGUGCUGAAGAAGCAGCAGCCCAAGAGCAGACAGGUCAGGUGGAAGAGUGCCUCAAAGUCAACCUGCUCAAGAUCAAAACAGAACUGUGUAAAAAGGAAGUUUUAAACAUGCUGAAGGAAAGCAAAGCAGACAUCUUUGUUGAUCCGGUGCUUCAUACUGCUUGUGCUCUGGACAUUAAACACCACUGUGCAGCCAUCACCCCUGGCCGCGGGCGUCAAAUGUCCUGUCUCAUGGAAGCACUGGAGGAUAAGCGGGUGAGGUUACAACCCGAGUGUAAAAAGCGCCUCAAUGAUCGGAUUGAAAUGUGGAGUUAUGCAGCAAAGGUGGCCCCAGCAGAUGGCUUCUCUGAUCUUGCCAUGCAAGUAAUGACAUCUCCGUCUAAGAACUACAUUCUCUCUGUGAUCAGUGGGAGCAUCUGUAUAUUGUUCCUGAUUGGUCUGAUGUGUGGACGGAUCACCAAGCGAGUGACACGAGAGCUCAAGGACAGGCUACAAUACAGGUCAGAGACAAUGGCUUAUAAAGGUUUAGUGUGGUCUCAGGAUGUGACAGGCAGUCCAGCCUGACCUUUCUGCACACUCCAGACAAACUUCCCAGACAAGCUCCUUUGUGCCUCCACGUUGAGAGGAUGUGGAAAGUUAUCACAUUAAAAGAUGGAGGAUUUGCUCUGUUUUUUUUCUUUUUGUCCAUUUGCUGCGUGUACCCACUCUGGUAGGCAUUGGCUAAAUGUUGUAUUUUGGUGACUCAUCAACCUUUGCAGAAUAUGGGCUUUAUAGAAGCAAUAUUCUUGGCCAUCCCGCCUCAUUCCUCCAGUGUGGAGAUGCCAAGUCUGGGGUGUGAAAGGGAGGGGUCUGGACAUCAUGGUUCAGCCUGGCUCUCCUUUAGUUUAGUUUGGGGCAUGAGAUCACAGUGGCUGCACAAGAGAGCAGUGUGUACAGUAGGAGAUAUAUUUAUAUAAUAUAUAUUUUAUUAACCUGUUAGAUGUCCACAAAGUAUUAUAAAUCACGUGCCUAAAACUGUCCACGUAGACCAAGGCCUGCCGUCGGCGCCCCCCACUCCUGCCUCUGCUCUGCACGGGCCACGCACGCUGCAGGACCAGAGAGCGACACUCGUCUUCCCUGAAGGGUGUUCAGUACAAGGCGUGUCAGUUUGUGGAUCAGUUGAUCCAAGUUACUCCUUGUCUAAUCUGACUGACAUAUAUUUGAAUACUGUGGUUUUCUUUCUUUUUUUCUAUUUUGCUGCCCUUCCUGGAGGCAGUGGGUUCCAGAAGCCAACUGAUUGUCCCCCUGCCAAGUCACCAAGGGAAGCUGCUAAGCUGCUUAGUCCCUUCGGUCCUGCUCGUAGGGUCUUCCUGAUUGUCCACAGCUGUCUGGGAUGCUUCAGUCUCCUAAAACUGGAAACUCAGGGUGCGAGCAGCACACACUGCCUCCCGCCACUGCCAGCCAGACUGAGUGGCCCGAGAGUCUCUGCAGGUCCCCUGAGGACUGGGGACCACUGAGGCUUAAUAUCAAGAACCAGGAAUGUCAUGUACAUGCAGGUGCCUACGGACGUGUCUGGUGUGGUUUGCAGGUAGGAUGGAUGUUCAGUAUUUGACUGGGUGGGGUAUCCUUCCUCUCUGCAGUUGCCUUCCCAGUAUGCAGAAACACCCUUAAAGUUCUAAUUGUCUUGGUAUUUCUGUUCUUUCUGAAUUGAGAGAAAAUCCCAUUUGUUGUCUGCAGAUUUGGAAGUUUGAUGAGGAAUUUUGUUCUUGAAACAUCUGUCAUCUUUUUUUUUUUUUGAGAUGGAGUAUUGCUCUGUUGCCCAGGCUGCAGUGCAGUGGUGCGAUCUCAGGUCACUGCAGUCUCCAACUCCUGGGUUCAAGCAAUUCUCUGCCUCAGCCUCCUGAGUAGCUGGUUUUCCAGGCACCCGCCACCAUGCCUGGCUAAUUUUUGUAUUUUUAGUAGAGACAGGGUUUCACCAUCUUGGCCAGGCUGGUCUUGAACUCCUGACCUCAGGUGAUCUGCCUGCCUCGGCCUCCCAAAGUGCUGGGAUUGCAGGUGUGAGCCACCAUGCCCAGCCGAAACAUUUGUCAUCAGUAUAAAUGGUCAAAAUAGAAAAGAUAGCUCUGCCAGUAUCUUCAGUUGCUUAUUACAAGAAUUUCUUUCAUCAUCCUACUUGGAGCAUUUUCCUAUGACUGGCUCUUGAGAGCCCCAGGCAGGACCCUGAGCAAGUUUUUCUAAGUUCUACGGCCAGCAAAGUCGGCACUGGCCGUACUCAUUAAGUCCCUCAUUUGACAAAACAAAACAGGGCCUGGGGCACCCCUGGUUCCAGGCCUUAUAGGUCCAUCAGCUGGCUGAGAAAUGGUCAAGAAGAGUAACAGUGACCCUUCUGUGGAUGCGAGCGGAUGAUGGACUCUGGCCUGUGUCUAUUCUGAUGUGUAGCCCACCAACAGUAAUAGAAGUAGAGAGUAGGGGGUUUUGCCAAGGCUAAGGCUUCAGGUACUUGCUAACAGUUACAGCAACUGGGUCACUGUCAUCUGGACUUACCAGUUCAUGCCAGUGUCUCUGUGACUCUUACGCAUAGUGUGCCCCACAGCCCUCUAGAGGCACCUGGAGCCCAGGCUGCCAGGCUGGAGGCUCUGGGGUACUGAAGGUGAGCUGUCUGGGCAAACUAUUAAGAACAAGACAAACUAUUCCCAGUGGAGCUUCUCCCACAGACGGGAGCUCUGUGAGGCCUUCACCUGGGUACAUGCUGGACUUCUGCUGCUGUUGCUGCUGUCCCUAGACAAGCCUGUUAGCAAGAAGUGCCGGCAGGGGAGCCAUGCACUCCAUAGGCUUGGGAUCACCCCCAGGAAAGCGAUCUUCCCCGGGCUACCACCCCCAGCCCCAGUUCUGAGCCAGUGCAUCCUUGGAAGCUAGGUGAAUUCUAGGAUGGCCGGUGAGCUAGUAUUGAGUGAGCAGGUAUUGACUUGAACACACUGCAGGCCUUUGGCUGUCUCAUGCUGUCCUUACUCUUCUUGGGAACAGUGAGUCAGCUGGCUGGGGUGGGGAUGCAUCCUGGUGAAGAGACAGCUUUCACUGAAGAUGCUGCAGAAAGUUACUGUCAAAUUUCAUUUGUUUCUGUUACUUGAGAUCAACUAACAGAAGAAUCCAGUGGUGAGGGUGUCUACAUUCAUGUUUUAUGUUUUAUCAAGGCAGAUUGGAAAGGGAAUUAUGUGGCUGACUUCCCUUGGCCUUUCCAAGAGAAGAUUCUCUUCUUAUGUCAGUGUGGCUUCUGGAAGUGUCUCCUAUCCUCCCAACCUCCAGGCCUGUGGUGCGACUUCUGCCCCGAAGUUCCUACUACAACUUCAGAUGAUAGACAAGUCAUUAGCAAACCAGACUGAAUCUUCAGGGUGAAGAACUCCCCAAAGUCAUCUGGUGAGAUCAUUGUGAGGACCCAGGGACUAUUUGUCACCUGGAUCACAAAGAUGGGACUGUCUGCUCAGGCUGAUGGUGACAGGAUCCUGACCGGUGGUCCUCUCCCAUUCCUUCUGCUGUACCAUGACACAUGUAUAGGACGCUGUGCUGUGUGCAGUGGAGAAAUCUCCCUGAGCCAGGAGAAAGUUCAGACAGUGCCUCUAGAUUGUGUUUUGCCUUCCCCAUUGUAGAGUUGACAUCUGGACCCCAGAGCCCAGCAGGGCUUUCUGUUAGACAUGCUAGGGUGGUGGAAACAGGCCCUCCAGGUCCCCCUGCAGUGUGCUGGCUGGAGGCCCCCGGAAAGCCAGCAGCAGGAGAGCUUCCUGGGCGGCUUCCCCCAGGACAGUGUUCCCAAGCCAGUCCAGCUGGAAAACAGACUGUACAGCAAAUGCUGUGUAAGAUCUUAGGCCUUUCACCUUUUUUGUUUUGUUUUGUUUUUGAAAGAAAGAAAGAAAAAAAGUACAAUUAACAAGCCUCUUUUGUAAAUGGGUUUCCUUUCUGUGUAUAAAAUCCUGGUGGUCCCUUGUUUUUACAUGUUCAUGCUGUGUAAUUUUGAGAUGUUACUGAGAUAUGUUCUGAACAUAAUGUGCAUUUUUUUCUGUACAGAUGAAAUGGGAGAAUUUAAUAAAGAGUUUGCAGGUUUUUACUUGUUAAA
Molecule: RNA transcript, 7167 nt
Organism: Rhinopithecus roxellana (golden snub-nosed monkey)
Lineage: Eukaryota; Metazoa; Chordata; Mammalia; Primates; Cercopithecidae
Gene: GLG1
Gene name: golgi glycoprotein 1
Exons: 28
Source: RefSeq, a predicted model, not a curated record